AGCUCCAAUAGCGUAUAUUAAAGUUGUUGCGGUUAAAAAGCUCGUAGUUGGAUUUCUGUUGAAGACGGCCGGUCCGCUCUAUGAGCGUGUAUCUGGUUCGGCUUCGGCAUCCUCGUGAGGAACGUAACUGUGCUUGAUUGCAUGGUGCGGUAAUCACGACUUUUACUUUGAGGAAAUUAGAGUGUUCACGGCAGGCCAUUGCCUUGAAUAUAUUAGCAUGGAAUAAUAAUAUAGGACUUUGGUUCUAUUUUGUUGGUUUCUAGAACUAAAGUAAUGAUUAAUAGGGAUAAGUUGGGGGCAUUUGUAUUAACGCGUCAGA
This 319-nucleotide ribosomal RNA is filed under the name uncultured eukaryote. RNAcentral describes it as "SSU rRNA". It matches the Rfam family "Eukaryotic small subunit ribosomal RNA", at positions 587 to 909 of the family's 1831-position model. The record is from RNAcentral.